Rhopalosiphum padi (bird cherry-oat aphid) is the source of this 352-nucleotide long non-coding RNA. RefSeq lists it as uncharacterized. NCBI's taxonomy places the organism in Eukaryota, Metazoa, Arthropoda, Insecta, Hemiptera, Aphididae. The transcript has 3 exons. The record is from RefSeq and is a predicted model, not a curated record.
AUUGAAAGGAGUGUAUAUAAAGGCUUAUGAGACGUCGAUUCCUGUAUAACACAUAUUUUUGUGCAAGUAUAUUCUUUGUUUUCACUUUAAUCCUCAAAACCAAUAAACAAAUCAAAAAUGGGCGCUGAAAAAGUAACCAUGAACAUCGUUGUCGUCGGACAAGUCCAAUCUGCCAAGGCCAUCAAAUCUGUCGCCAAAGCUACCUCAGCCUCCAGCCAAUUGAUGAACUGUUAAUUUAUGUAGUUCAUCCAUCGCAAACACAAAAAUGCCAUAGCCCAAACAAUACGAUAUGUUAUUCAGAUUGAUAUUGACACCAUGAAAUAAAACAGUCACUUCCGAUAUUUUUAAACUA